GAUGAACGCUGGCGGCGUGCCUAAUACAUGCAAGUCGAGCGAACGGACGAGAAGCUUGCUUCUCUGAUGUUAGCGGCGGACGGGUGAGUAACACGUGGAUAACCUACCUAUAAGACUGGGAUAACUUCGGGAAACCGGAGCUAAUACCGGAUGAUAUUUUGAACCGCAUGGUUCAAAAGUGAAAGACGGUCUUGCUGUCACUUAUAGAUGGAUCCGCGCUGCAUUAGCUAGUUGGUAAGGUAACGGCUUACCAAGGCAACGAUGCAUAGCCGACCUGAGAGGGUGAUCGGCCACACUGGAACUGAGACACGGUCCAGACUCCUACGGGAGGCAGCAGUAGGGAAUCUUCCGCAAUGGGCGAAAGCCUGACGGAGCAACGCCGCGUGAGUGAUGAAGGUCUUCGGAUCGCAAAACUCUGUUAUUAGGGAAGAACAUAUGUGUAAGUAACUGUGCACAUCUUGACGGUACCUAAUCAGAAAGCCACGGCUAACUACGUGCCAGCAGCCGCGGUAAUACGUAGGUGGCAAGCGUUAUCCGGAAAUUAUGGGCGUAAGGCGCGCGUAGGCGGUUUUUUAAGUCUGAUGUGAAAGCCCACGGCUCACCCCGUGGAGGGUCAUUGGAAACUGGAAAACUUGAGUGCAGAAGAGGAAAGUGGAAUUCCAUGUGUAGCGGUGAAAUGCGCAGAGAUAUGGAGGAACACCAGUGGCGAAGGCGACUUUCUGGUCUGUAACUGACGCUGAUGUGCGAAAGCGUGGGGAUCAAACAGGAUUAGAUACCCUGGUAGUCCACGCCGUAAACGAUGAGUGCUAAGUGUUAGGGGGUUUCCGCCCCUUAGUGCUGCAGCUAACGCAUUAAGCACUCCGCCUGGGGAGUACGACCGCAAGGUUGAAACUCAAAGGAAUUGACGGGGACCCGCACAAGCGGUGGAGCAUGUGGUUUAAUUCGAAGCAACGCGAAGAACCUUACCAAAUCUUGACAUCCUUUGACAACUCUAGAGAUAGAGCCUUCCCCUUCGGGGGACAAAGUGACAGGUGGUGCAUGGUUGUCGUCAGCUCGUGUCGUGAGAUGUUGGGUUAAGUCCCGCAACGAGCGCAACCCUUAAGCUUAGUUGCCAUCAUUAAGUUGGGCACUCUAAGUUGACUGCCGGUGACAAACCGGAGGAAGGUGGGGAUGACGUCAAAUCAUCAUGCCCCUUAUGAUUUGGGCUACACACGUGCUACAAUGGACAAUACAAAGGGCAGCGAAACCGCGAGGUCAAGCAAAUCCCAUAAAGUUGUUCUCAGUUCGGAUUGUAGUCUGCAACUCGACUACAUGAAGCUGGAAUCGCUAGUAAUCGUAGAUCAGCAUGCUGCGGUGAAUACGUUCCCGGGUCU
This 1373-nucleotide ribosomal RNA is filed under the name uncultured bacterium. RNAcentral's name for it is "bacterial SSU rRNA". It matches the Rfam family "Bacterial small subunit ribosomal RNA", at positions 28 to 1381 of the family's 1533-position model. The record is from RNAcentral.